UAACGAAUAUUCCGCAAUGCGCGAAAGCGUGACGGAGCAAUGCCGCGUGCAGGAUGAAGCCCUUCGGGGUGUAAACUGCUGUCAGGGUACAGGAAGAAAGUGACCAUACCCAAAGGAAGGGCCGGCUAACUUCGUGCCAGCAGCCGCGGUAAUACGAAGGGCCCGAGCGUUAAUCGGAAUCACUGGGCUUAAAGCGUACGCAGGCGGAUUCGCGGGCAUCUUGUGAAAUCCCCCGGCUCAACCGGGGAACUGCAGGGUGAACCUCGAGUCUCGAGGCAAGUAGGGGCUGUCGGAACGCUAGGUGGAGUGGUGAAAUGCGUUGAUAUCUAGCGGAACGCCGAAGGAGAAAUCAGGCAGCUGGGCUUGUUCUGACGCUGAGGUACGAAAGCGUGGGGAGCGAACGGGAUUAGAUACCCCCGUAGUCC
RNAcentral lists this ribosomal RNA (425 nucleotides) under uncultured prokaryote. RNAcentral describes it as "bacterial SSU rRNA". It matches the Rfam family "Bacterial small subunit ribosomal RNA", at positions 355 to 796 of the family's 1533-position model. The record is from RNAcentral.